Molecule: ribosomal RNA, 277 nt
Filed under: uncultured bacterium
Lineage: Bacteria
Description: partial 16S ribosomal RNA
Rfam family: Bacterial small subunit ribosomal RNA
Source: RNAcentral
ACUUCGUUCCAGCAGCCGCGGUAAUACGAAGGGGGCUAGCGUUGUUCGGAUUUACUGGGCGUAAAGCGCACGUAGGCGGGCUAAUAAGUCAGGGGUGAAAUCCCGGGGCUCAACCCCGGAACUGCCUUUGAUACUGUUAGUCUUGAGUAUGGUAGAGGUGAGUGGAAUUCCGAGUGUAGAGGUGAAAUUCGUAGAUAUUCGGAGGAACACCAGUGGCGAAGGCGGCUCACUGGACCAUUACUGACGCUGAGGUGCGAAAGCGUGGGGAGCAAACAGG